This 520-nucleotide ribosomal RNA is filed under the name uncultured fungus. Its description in RNAcentral is "SSU rRNA". It matches the Rfam family "Eukaryotic small subunit ribosomal RNA", at positions 49 to 571 of the family's 1831-position model. Lineage: Eukaryota; Fungi. The record is from RNAcentral.
CCAUGCAUGUCUAAGUAUAAGCACUUUAUACUGUGAAACUGCGAAUGGCUCAUUAAAUCAGUUAUCGUUUAUUUGAUAGUACCUUACUACAUGGAUACCUGUGGUAAUUCUAGAGCUAAUACAUGCUGAAAACCCCGACUUCGGAAGGGGUGUAUUUAUUAGAUAAAAAACCAAUGCCCUUCGGGGCUCCUUGGGUGAGUCAUAAUAACUUAGCGAAUCGCAUGGCCUUGCGCCGGCGAUGGUUCAUUCAAAUUUCUGCCCUAUCAACUUUCGAUGGUAGGAUAGUGGCCUACCAUGGUGGCAACGGGUAACGGGGAAUUAGGGUUCGAUUCCGGAGAGGGAGCCUGAGAAACGGCUACCACAUCCAAGGAAGGCAGCAGGCGCGCAAAUUACCCAAUCCCGACACGGGGAGGUAGUGACAAUAAAUACUGAUACGGGGCUCUUUCGAGUCUCGUAAUUGGAAUGAGUACGAUCUAAACCCACUAACGAGGAACAAUUGGAGGGCAAGUCUGGUGCCAGC